ACUGUAGCUAUCCUGUGGAGUGUAUUGUUUGUGACCUACAAGCUGAUAAGAGCCUUUGAGCCUGUCAUACAUCAAGAUAAGUUUCUGAUCCCUUAUAAUAACAGUCAUACCAUGUUUGUAAUAAGAAAUCAUUAAUUGUAGCUAUCUAUCCUUAAACUUUGCUAUACCAAUUUUUUAGAACUUCGGAUUAGAGGUGUUCUCAACUGCUAUUUUGCUAGACUGAAAGUACUAGUGCUAGGUGGACCAGUUAGAUAUCUAUCUGAAAAUAGAGUUCUUGCUAGAUGGAUGCACUGCCUGAUGAGGUAUUAUAUACAGGUGCUGUACUGCAGAUUUUGUACUCUACUAAUCUGUAGAGAACAUGGAUAGAUAUAGAAAUGUACAACAUGGUUGUGGAUGUGAAUGAGAUGGGCGUCAAGCAUACAUGCAGAUUUCUGCUAGGUCAGAGAUGAAGAAGCAAGCUGUGUUGGAGGCGCAGCUUGAGCAUUUGCUGUGUCAAAAUGGACCGAGCAAAGCGUCAUGGUGGUAUGUUAGCUUUUGGUGGAACUAAGCUUUUGCAGGAACCAAACUUGUGUUUGUAAUUCUGCUGAAACCUAUCUUUUUUUUUGUUUCUGAUGCUACAAUGGACGGUAAGUGAUACUAGAUGAAAA
Long non-coding RNA from Panicum virgatum (switchgrass), 647 nucleotides. RefSeq lists it as uncharacterized. The transcript has 2 exons. Lineage: Eukaryota; Viridiplantae; Streptophyta; Magnoliopsida; Poales; Poaceae. The record is from RefSeq and is a predicted model, not a curated record.